This 76-nucleotide transfer RNA is filed under the name Aeromicrobium panaciterrae. RNAcentral describes it as "tRNA-Thr". It matches the Rfam family "tRNA". Rfam says of the family: Transfer RNA (tRNA) molecules are approximately 80 nucleotides in length. Their secondary structure includes four short double-helical elements and three loops (D, anti-codon, and T loops). RNAcentral also lists the same sequence under 1 other name. Lineage: Bacteria; Bacillati; Actinomycetota; Actinomycetes; Propionibacteriales; Nocardioidaceae. The record is from RNAcentral.
GCCGCUUUAGCUCAGUCGGUAGAGCGUUUCACUCGUAAUGAAAAGGUCAUCGGUUCGAUUCCGAUAAGCGGCUCCA